GCCGAGGUGGUGGAACUGGUAGACACGCAGCGUUGAGGGCGCUGUGCCCAUUGCGGGCGUGGAGGUUCGAGUCCUCUCCUCGGCACCA
RNAcentral lists this transfer RNA (88 nucleotides) under Chloroflexota bacterium. RNAcentral describes it as "Chloroflexi bacterium tRNA-Leu". It matches the Rfam family "tRNA". From Rfam's summary of the family: Transfer RNA (tRNA) molecules are approximately 80 nucleotides in length. Their secondary structure includes four short double-helical elements and three loops (D, anti-codon, and T loops). Further hydrogen bonds mediate the characteristic L-shaped molecular structure. tRNAs have two regions of fundamental functional importance: the anti-codon, which is responsible for specific mRNA codon recognition, and the 3' end, to which the tRNAs corresponding amino acid is attached (by aminoacyl-tRNA synthetases). tRNAs cope with the degeneracy of the genetic code in two manners: having more than one tRNA (with a specific anti-codon) for a particular amino acid; and 'wobble' base-pairing, i.e. permitting non-standard base-pairing at the 3rd anti-codon position. Lineage: Bacteria; Bacillati; Chloroflexota. The record is from RNAcentral.